Molecule: long non-coding RNA, 736 nt
Organism: Archocentrus centrarchus (flier cichlid)
Lineage: Eukaryota; Metazoa; Chordata; Actinopteri; Cichliformes; Cichlidae
Exons: 3
Source: RefSeq, a predicted model, not a curated record
UGACCUUGAAGAGAAGUCACGCAGCUGCCACAUUGUGUUUUACCGUGUACACCAACUUUCUGAUAUUAACCUCCGUGUAUGCCGCAUCUUCACGGAAUGCCCGAGAAGACAAAACCUAGGUCGGGGGCUGAGCCCAGAAAGAGGAUGUGGAAAGACCUUUGCGCGUGCUCCGCCCCGGAGUUGUCAAACCAAGUGGCGACUUGUCUCGUCUGCAGUGGUAACCCUGAAGUAGUACACACAGCCCCGAGUGUUCUGGACUUUCAGAUAAGAGACUGUCAAGUGAAAAGAAGAUGCUAAUUUUCUACGUCAAACCUGCAAAACAAAAGUGAAUUAAAUUACAUGUGGUCUGUCAGAAUGAUCUCGAGUGUACCAUUAAUAAGCUCUUUGUUGUUGCUGCUGUGGAGCGUCGUGGUUUCCACCAGAGGGAAUGCAGAACCUGGGGAGAGACUGACUUCUGCUGACCUCUGUGGGAGGAAUCUGUGUGCUAACCACCAAUUUAAAUUGCUGUACUAAAUGUAUACAUUAUAGACUAUAUGUAUGUAAUAGGGAUCUUUGUAGGAUACUGUUAUUAGUAUGAAAGUUUUCCCACAAGUAAAAGCACAGAUAAUAAACACUAAAUAAUGAUGACUAAAUUUAAUUUAGCUGUGUUAAGUUUCAGUGUUCUGGUGAUUUGCAUGGUGGCUCACUGUCACAGCUUAUUAAUAAGCCACUAAUAAUGUUUCCAGUGCUUUUCUUA